GCCCACUGGCAGAGGAGGGGCCGGGGGAGGCCCGGCAAAGUUUCCCAACAUCCUCACAAAGAAGCUCAGGGUAUACGAUUUCCCGUCAGCAGGAAAGCAUGUGCCGUCUUAGAAAGAAAGAGGAAUUACAACGCCCCAAAGGGUCAAGGCGAGCCUAUGCCUCCGCCAUGUGUGUCCCUCCCCGCGGCCGGGACAGCGAGUCCGGGCAACGGCGGAGUUUACUGAAGUUUACUCCGAACCCGUCCCCGAGCCCUGGGCGGCCGAGCAAACAGCGCGCGACGUCCUCUCCCUCCUAUUACCAGACUCAGAGGUUGUGGUGGAGAAUUCCCCUGCGUGUGGACUGAAAAACUCCCAGAUGGAACAUGAUGGCCUGGCCCAGCACUGUCAGGGCCGGGGACCAAACAGGGACAGACCUGCGUUUGAAUCUUGGCUGGCUGCUCUGCCACUCCAUAGCAGGGUGGCCUUUCAGAGCUGAGGGGCAUUGGUGGCCUGGGAAGUCCCUGCAUGACUGGCCCCUCAAGGCCUCUGUCGUGGGCUAAUGUUCGGAAAAGAUUCUUAGAAACAGGGAUUGCUUGGACAAAGGCCAUGUGAUUUAUUUGGAUCACUUCUGCCUGAGGCUUCCAGACAUUGUAGAGUUUGUAAAAGCUUCACUUAGGCAAUUAAAAACUUGAAGCGGA
This is a long non-coding RNA of Mirounga angustirostris (Northern elephant seal), 677 nucleotides long. RefSeq lists it as uncharacterized. The transcript has 2 exons. The record is from RefSeq and is a predicted model, not a curated record. Lineage: Eukaryota; Metazoa; Chordata; Mammalia; Carnivora; Phocidae.